This 2771-nucleotide ribosomal RNA is filed under the name Klebsiella pneumoniae. RNAcentral's name for it is "bacterial LSU rRNA". It matches the Rfam family "Bacterial large subunit ribosomal RNA". Lineage: Bacteria; Pseudomonadati; Pseudomonadota; Gammaproteobacteria; Enterobacterales; Enterobacteriaceae. The record is from RNAcentral.
AGCGUACACGGUGGAUGCCCUGGCAGUCAGAGGCGAUGAAGGACGUGCUAAUCUGCGAAAAGCGUCGGUAAGGUGAUAUGAACCGUUAUAACCGGCGAUGUCCGAAUGGGGAAACCCAGUGCAAUUCGUUGCACUAUCGUUAACUGAAUACAUAGGUUAACGAGGCGAACCGGGGGAACUGAAACAUCUAAGUACCCCGAGGAAAAGAAAUCAACCGAGAUUCCCCCAGUAGCGGCGAGCGAACGGGGAGCAGCCCAGAGUCUGAAUCAGCUUGUGUGUUAGUGGAACGGUCUGGAAAGUCCGACGGUACAGGGUGAUAGUCCCGUACACCAAAAUGCACAGGCUGUGAACUCGAAGAGUAGGGCGGGACACGUGGUAUCCUGUCUGAAUAUGGGGGGACCAUCCUCCAAGGCUAAAUACUCCUGACUGACCGAUAGUGAACCAGUACCGUGAGGGAAAGGCGAAAAGAACCCCGGCGAGGGGAGUGAAAAAGAACCUGAAACCGUGUACGUACAAGCAGUGGGAGCACCUUCGGGUGUGACUGCGUACCUUUUGUAUAAUGGGUCAGCGACUUAUAUUCUGUAGCAAGGUUAACCGUAUAGGGGAGCCGCAGGGAAACCGAGUCUUAACUGGGCGUUAAGUUGCAGGGUAUAGACCCGAAACCCGGUGAUCUAGCCAUGGGCAGGUUGAAGGUUGGGUAACACUAACUGGAGGACCGAACCGACUAAUGUUGAAAAAUUAGCGGAUGACUUGUGGCUGGGGGUGAAAGGCCAAUCAAACCGGGAGAUAGCUGGUUCUCCCCGAAAGCUAUUUAGGUAGCGCCUCGUGAACUCAUCUUCGGGGGUAGAGCACUGUUUCGGCUAGGGGGUCAUCCCGACUUACCAACCCGAUGCAAACUACGAAUACCGAAGAAUGUUAUCACGGGAGACACACGGCGGGUGCUAACGUCCGUCGUGAAGAGGGAAACAACCCAGACCGCCAGCUAAGGUCCCAAAGUCAUGGUUAAGUGGGAAACGAUGUGGGAAGGCACAGACAGCCAGGAUGUUGGCUUAGAAGCAGCCAUCAUUUAAAGAAAGCGUAAUAGCUCACUGGUCGAGUCGGCCUGCGCGGAAGAUGUAACGGGGCUAAACCAUGCACCGAAGCUGCGGCAGCGACACGAUGUGUUGUUGGGUAGGGGAGCGUUCUGUAAGCCUGCGAAGGUGACCUGUGAGGGUUGCUGGAGGUAUCAGAAGUGCGAAUGCUGACAUAAGUAACGAUAAAGCGGGUGAAAAGCCCGCUCGCCGGAAGACCAAGGGUUCCUGUCCAACGUUAAUCGGGGCAGGGUGAGUCGACCCCUAAGGCGAGGCCGAAAGGCGUAGUCGAUGGGAAACAGGUUAAUAUUCCUGUACUUGGUGUUACUGCGAAGGGGGGACGGAGAAGGCUAUGUUAGCCGGGCGACGGUUGUCCCGGUUUAAGCAUGUAGGCUGGUUAUCCAGGCAAAUCCGGAUAAUCAAGGCUGAGGUGUGAUGACGAGGCACUACGGUGCUGAAGUAACAAAUGCCCUGCUUCCAGGAAAAGCCUCUAAGCAUCAGGUAACAUCAAAUCGUACCCCAAACCGACACAGGUGGUCAGGUAGAGAAUACCAAGGCGCUUGAGAGAACUCGGGUGAAGGAACUAGGCAAAAUGGUGCCGUAACUUCGGGAGAAGGCACGCUGGUGUGUAGGUGAAGUCCCUGCGGAUGGAGCUGAGACCAGUCGAAGAUACCAGCUGGCUGCAACUGUUUAUUAAAAACACAGCACUGUGCAAACACGAAAGUGGACGUAUACGGUGUGACGCCUGCCCGGUGCCGGAAGGUUAAUUGAUGGGGUUAUCCGUAAGGAGAAGCUCUUGAUCGAAGCCCCGGUAAACGGCGGCCGUAACUAUAACGGUCCUAAGGUAGCGAAAUUCCUUGUCGGGUAAGUUCCGACCUGCACGAAUGGCGUAAUGAUGGCCAGGCUGUCUCCACCCGAGACUCAGUGAAAUUGAACUCGCUGUGAAGAUGCAGUGUACCCGCGGCAAGACGGAAAGACCCCGUGAACCUUUACUAUAGCUUGACACUGAACAUUGAGCCUUGAUGUGUAGGAUAGGUGGGAGGCUUUGAAGCGUGGACGCCAGUCUGCGUGGAGCCAACCUUGAAAUACCACCCUUUAAUGUUUGAUGUUCUAACGUGGGCCCCUGACCGGGGUUGCGGACAGUGUCUGGUGGGUAGUUUGACUGGGGCGGUCUCCUCCCAAAGCGUAACGGAGGAGCACGAAGGUUAGCUAAUCCUGGUCGGACAUCAGGAGGUUAGUGCAAUGGCAUAAGCUAGCUUGACUGCGAGCGUGACGGCGCGAGCAGGUGCGAAAGCAGGUCAUAGUGAUCCGGUGGUUCUGAAUGGAAGGGCCAUCGCUCAACGGAUAAAAGGUACUCCGGGGAUAACAGGCUGAUACCGCCCAAGAGUUCAUAUCGACGGCGGUGUUUGGCACCUCGAUGUCGGCUCAUCACAUCCUGGGGCUGAAGUAGGUCCCAAGGGUAUGGCUGUUCGCCAUUUAAAGUGGUACGCGAGCUGGGUUUAGAACGUCGUGAGACAGUUCGGUCCCUAUCUGCCGUGGGCGCUGGAGAAUUGAGGGGGGCUGCUCCUAGUACGAGAGGACCGGAGUGGACGCAUCACUGGUGUUCGGGUUGUCAUGCCAAUGGCACUGCCCGGUAGCUAAAUGCGGAAGAGAUAAGUGCUGAAAGCAUCUAAGCACGAAACUUGCCCCGAGAUGAGUUCU